UUUGUGUGGUUGUGGACAUUGGUGUGGGU
Molecule: non-coding RNA, 29 nt
Filed under: Homo sapiens (human)
Lineage: Eukaryota; Metazoa; Chordata; Mammalia; Primates; Hominidae
Source: RNAcentral